UACGUAGGCAGCAAGCGUUGUUCGGAAUUAUUGGGCGUAAAGAGUAUGUAGGUGGUGUCGUAAGUUUGGUGUGAAAUCUCCCGGCUUAACUGGGAGGGUGCGCCGAAGACUGCGAUGCUGGAGUAUGGGAGAGGGAAUCGGAAUUCCUGGUGUAGCGGUGAAAUGCGUAGAUAUCAGGAGGAACACCUGUGGUGUAGACGGGUUCCUGGACCAUUACUGACACUGAGAUACGAAAGCGUGGGUAGCAAACAGG
This 253-nucleotide ribosomal RNA is filed under the name uncultured bacterium. RNAcentral describes it as "partial 16S ribosomal RNA". It matches the Rfam family "Bacterial small subunit ribosomal RNA", at positions 524 to 776 of the family's 1533-position model. The record is from RNAcentral.